RNAcentral lists this ribosomal RNA (248 nucleotides) under uncultured bacterium. Its description in RNAcentral is "partial 16S ribosomal RNA". It matches the Rfam family "Bacterial small subunit ribosomal RNA", at positions 15 to 253 of the family's 1533-position model. The record is from RNAcentral.
GAUCAUGGCUCAGGAUGAACGCUAGCUACAGGCUUAACACACGCAAGUCGGGGGGAAACGACAUCGAAAGCUUGCUUUUGAUGGGCGUCGACCGGCGCACGGGUGAGUAACGCGUAUCCAACCUGCCCAUCACUUGGGAAUAACCUUGCGAAAGUAAGACUAAUGCCCAAUGAUAUCCCACGAAGGCAUCCGAAUGGGAUUAAAGAACUUCGGUCAUCGAUGGGGAUGCGUUCCAUUAGGUUGUUGGG